UGGAGGACUGAGAAAGUUAAGCAGAAUGUUUAGUGCUGCAUUAACUGGUUAUAACCUCCUAAAAAAAUUACAGGCUUUGUGGUACAUUGUGUUUUCAUUAUCAGUGUUACUGCAAUACUUGCAUACAUUUA
Paramisgurnus dabryanus is the source of this 131-nucleotide small nucleolar RNA. RefSeq annotates it as small nucleolar RNA SNORA47. NCBI's taxonomy places the organism in Eukaryota, Metazoa, Chordata, Actinopteri, Cypriniformes, Cobitidae. The record is from RefSeq and is a predicted model, not a curated record.